RNAcentral lists this ribosomal RNA (306 nucleotides) under uncultured bacterium. RNAcentral describes it as "partial 16S ribosomal RNA". It matches the Rfam family "Bacterial small subunit ribosomal RNA", at positions 505 to 808 of the family's 1533-position model. The record is from RNAcentral.
GACAGCAGCAGCCGCGGUAAUACGUAGGUCCCGAGCGUUGUCCGGAUUUAUUGGGCGUAAAGCGAGCGCAGGCGGUUAGAUAAGUCUGAAGUUAAAGGCUGUGGCUUAACCAUAGUACGCUUUGGAAACUGUUUAACUUGAGUGCAAGAGGGGAGAGUGGAAUUCCAUGUGUAGCGGUGAAAUGCGUAGAUAUAUGGAGGAACACCGGUGGCGAAAGCGGCUCUCUGGCUUGUAACUGACGCUGAGGCUCGAAAGCGUGGGGAGCAAACAGGAUUAGAUACCCGGGUAGUCCCUGUCUCUUAUACA